This 444-nucleotide ribosomal RNA is filed under the name Sarcophaga marshalli. RNAcentral's name for it is "partial 16S ribosomal RNA". It matches the Rfam family "Bacterial large subunit ribosomal RNA", at positions 1922 to 2575 of the family's 2925-position model. Lineage: Eukaryota; Metazoa; Arthropoda; Insecta; Diptera; Sarcophagidae. The record is from RNAcentral.
UUUAAAUGGCCGCAGUAUACUAACUGUGCAAAGGUAGCAUAAUCAUUAGUCUUUUAAUUGAAGGCUGGUAUGAAUGGUUGGACGAGAUAUUAACUGUUUCAUAAAAAUUUAUAAUAGAAUUUUAUUUUUUAGUCAAAAAGCUAAAAUAAAAUUAAAAGACGAGAAGACCCUAUAAAUCUUUAUAUAUAAAUUAUUAGAAUUUUGUAGAUUUUUUUUAUUAUAAUAAUUGAUUGUAUUUUAUUGGGGUGAUAUUAAAAUUUAAUAAACUUUUAAUUUUUAAAAUCAUUAAUUUAUGAAUAAAUGAUCCGUUAAUAACGAUUAAAAAAAUAAGUUACUUUAGGGAUAACAGCGUAAUUUUUUUGGAGAGUUCAUAUCGAUAAAAAAGAUUGCGACCUCGAUGUUGGAUUAAGAUAUAAUUUUAGGUGUAGUCGCUUAAAUUUUAAG